CCUACGGGUGGCAGCAGUGGGGAAUAUUGCACAAUGGGGGGAACCCUGAUGCAGCGACGCCGCGUGAGUGAAGAAGUAUUUCGGUAUGUAAAGCUCUAUCAGCAGGGAAGAAAAUGACGGUACCUGACUAAGAAGCCCCGGCUAACUACGUGCCAGCAGCCGCGGUAAUACGUAGGGGGCAAGCGUUAUCCGGAUUUACUGGGUGGAAAGGGAGCGCAGACGGCUGUGCAAGUCUGGAGUGAAAGGCCGGGGCCCAACCCCCGGACUGCUCUGGAAACUGUAAAGCUGGAGUGCAGGAGAGGUAAGCGGAAUUCCUAGUGUAGCGGUGAAAUGCGUAGAUAUUAGGAGGAACACCAGUGGCGAAGGCGGCUUACUGGACUGCAACUGACGUUGAGGCUCGAAAGCGUGGGGAGCAAACAGGAUUAGAUACCCUUGUAGUC
Molecule: ribosomal RNA, 440 nt
Filed under: uncultured bacterium
Lineage: Bacteria
Description: partial 16S ribosomal RNA
Rfam family: Bacterial small subunit ribosomal RNA
Source: RNAcentral